UGUCCGUUCUGAGGUUGGGCUGGUUUCUCCUCUUGGCCCUGCCCUGCAGACCAUAAAGGGAAUCAGCAAGAGGUCCCCAGCAAACCUCCACAGAUGGCCCUGGACAUCAGCCACAUUCUGAGAAACAUGUCAUGUUCUGGGAGGGCUAAGGCAUCAAGUAAGGCCUAUGGGGCUGGAGGAUCCCAGGGCAGGUGGGGCAAUCCAGAGCCAUGGGGGCUUCCCAUGGGAAUAGAGAGGUCCCGAGGCAGAGGCAGGGGUUCCACAGGAGGAGUCCCAGAGCCACCAAGCGCUCUCCUGGCCCAGGGAGCAGUCAACACCAUGGACUGAGCACCUACUGGGCUCCAAGCUCUGGGCCAGGCUGGGGCAUGUGGGGCCAGGAGGGAGCUCAGAGUGGGAAACAGAGAGACAAGUGUACUCAGAGGGCACCCGUUUCUGGGUGUAAUGUGGUCCUGAGAUUCUGGCUGGGAAGUGCUUCCAGGGUUUCAUAUGUGUUAUGGAGCUGCUUCCUCUCCCCAGCCUCACCCUGCAGGAAUCCCAGGGAAUGUAUUGCCACCAUCUUGGAGCUCAGUGCCCUUAUAGUGUAACAGCACCAGCAGAUCUGCCUGUGCAUGGACUUCCUGUACUAGCCAUUCCUGAGGGGUGAUGCUUCUGCAGGGCCUGUGACCUGGUGCACAAUUUUAGACACCAUCAUCCUGCAGCAGCACUGCACCCUUACUAGCCAGGGUGUUGAUGACUUCCUCAAGGCCAAGGCCACGUUCAAGACUUAGGACUUCAGUGAUGCACUUGUGCUGGGCAAGGUGGCUUCUCCAGGAUCUUAAUUCAGGAGGUAGAAUGGAGCUUGAGGUUAAGUGUCUGAUCAAAGAACUUGAACUUGAUCUGGAAGGCUCUGGGAAGCCAUGGAAGGUGCUGGAUAAAGGAGGGACAGUCAGAUAUGUUUUAGAGAUGACUGUAGAAGGCUGCCUGGAAGGAGUGAACAAGAGCCAGGAGACCAGGGAGGGAGCUUGUGGGGCAGGUCUGGAGAUGGCAAGGGAGGGAUCCUGUCAGUCUUCAAGGACUGUCUCAGGUUACAAUCAGGUGCCCUCAGAGCUAGUGUGUUCAGAGGUCUUGUCUCCAGGAUGAAAAUGGGAAGGAGUCGUCAGAUGAGGACAUAUAAAUGGAGGCUGGCAUCUUCAUGAGUACCAGUGGUGGUCCCGGUGUAGGUCUCUCCAUCCAGGGACAUGGUGGAUGGACAUUACAUCACUCCAUUCUGCCCUUCCUUUCCCUCCUCCCAUUCUCCCGAGGGCCUCACUGCAUGAGCACUGUCCAACCUCUGGUGCUGAAGCAGCCAAGAGACCCAAGCCUGUGUGGCUGCCUCUUAGGAUAUGACAGCACAGCCAGUGGCCUCUACUGGAUCCUAUGCAACCUCAGAAGACACCCAGACACCAUGAGUGAUGCCACCACGUGGUGCAAGAGUUCUGAGGGACCAUAAUCCUGAACACAUUGAAUGGUGGGUGCAGGGCCUCAUGGCCUGUUCCCCAGCCCCUCUCAUUGGCUCUGCUCCAGGUGGUGAAGGGGGAAAAUGUUUUUGUCAAUUCUGCCAUGAUUGCCUAGCAGGAAAAGGAGCAGAGCCCAGAAGCAGGGCCUGGUAUGCAGCCUGCCUAACAAGGGAGAAUUUGUAGGCUUUGUGGACAGAAAGAUCUGGGAGUCCAUAUCUAUCACUCACUAGCUUGCUGAGACAUUAGUAAAAUCAGUUUUCUGAACUACAUUUCUGUCAUCUGUAAAGUGAGAGGAAUUUCUUCUACUCGUGAGGCUUCUUGGAGAAUUAGUGACAGUGUAUGUAGAGCAGGGCCCACCCAGCAGGCAUUUGGUGUCCAGACCACUCCUCUUCCCCCUUGAUUUUCUGCCUAAAUUUGCAUUUUGUUCUUAAGACUUUCACUCCCCUUAAUUCUGCUCUUCCCUCUGAUUCCCGCCUUAUUGUAUAUCCCAUGGAGUCACCAGGAUCAAAGUGGGUAACAGUCUUGUAUGCAUGUAUAUGUACAUACACACUUUGUUGGGUUGGAAAGUGCUGUGUGAGUGUGUGUAUGUGUUGGAGUCACUGACUGAAACUCUCCACACCAGGCUGUGUUCCUGCUCAUUGCUGGAGGUGCUGUCAGGGGCCCAGCCCUCAACCCCGGGUCUGACCCUUGCAGCUCAGGCAGGACAUUCUGGAGGAAUCAUGUCCUUGGAAGGAGCCCUGAGGAGUGACUGUUGUUAGAUGAAAAAACUGGGGCAAAGAGCAAUACGGAGAAUUGCCCAAAUUCACACCAUUGGUCCAGGUUUGAAGCAAGCAGUCUGUACCUGGAGUCCUUGUCUGUAACCAUGGCACCCUGCCUUCUUACCCAACUCAUCGUGGAGUUCCACCUUGUGUCAGGCACUGCACUGAGCAGCUUCUUUUAAGAACAUAAUUUGUAAUUAUGUAGAUUACUAAUUCUACUUCAAAACGCCACACAGCCUUCAUGUGAUUAAAUGAAACAAUUGCUCAUCUGAUCUCCUGGGAUCUCUACUAAGAUGUUGGCAGCCCAGCCAGCUGGUCCGGCCCUGGACAUGCCUUAGCAGCUGGUUAUGCUUCAUGACCUGCAUUGCGGUGGGUGCCAUUUUGCAGACGCUGGUCAGAGUGGAACGUUCCAUGGGAACUCGGGCCAUGAGAAACAUCCUUCCUGACCACGUGACUGCAGAAACAUCCUUGUCGCACCCUCCCGGGCAAAGGCCCAACAGCCUGACUGCAUAGACAUCCUUGCCAUAUCCUGCUGGGCAGCAAGCUCUACCACCCUGAACCCUCCCUCCCAGUCCCAUGAUUACCCCAGCCUGUGAGUGGCAGUUGGCCCUAGCACUAAGCUGGUUUACCCCUCCGCAGGGUUUUGCUGUCAAUAAAGAUGUUGCUGUUGAAUCUGCCAA
Long non-coding RNA from Symphalangus syndactylus (siamang), 2913 nucleotides. RefSeq lists it as uncharacterized. The record is from RefSeq and is a predicted model, not a curated record. NCBI's taxonomy places the organism in Eukaryota, Metazoa, Chordata, Mammalia, Primates, Hylobatidae.